Molecule: long non-coding RNA, 248 nt
Organism: Impatiens glandulifera
Lineage: Eukaryota; Viridiplantae; Streptophyta; Magnoliopsida; Ericales; Balsaminaceae
Exons: 2
Source: RefSeq, a predicted model, not a curated record
UCGAAUUCCAUUAUACAUCGCAAUUUUUAUUUAUCGAUUUGCGAAUGUAUUCUUCAUUUUGAUCCGCCUAAUUGAAGUUAUAUAUCUGUUUCGAUUUCUUUGAUGUUUUCCCCCUAUGAUCGAAGCUGAAAGUUCUCAUUUAUUUGAGAAAUCCAAGCCAGGAAUCAUCCAAUUCAUAUGAUCGAAACUGAAAUUAUCGAGCGCUGUUCUCAUUUAUUUGAGAAAUCCAAGCCAGGAAUCUUCUGAUC